This 68-nucleotide small RNA is filed under the name Priestia koreensis. RNAcentral describes it as "Bacillus koreensis Listeria sRNA sbrA". It matches the Rfam family "Listeria sRNA sbrA". Lineage: Bacteria; Bacillati; Bacillota; Bacilli; Caryophanales; Bacillaceae. The record is from Rfam by way of RNAcentral.
AUACAUCUAGAACCAUACCCCUAAACUCCCUAGAUGGAAGGAUUAUGUGAUCAUAAUCCUUCUUUUUU